RNAcentral lists this unclassified non-coding RNA (318 nucleotides) under Hevea brasiliensis (rubber tree). The record is from RNAcentral. Lineage: Eukaryota; Viridiplantae; Streptophyta; Magnoliopsida; Malpighiales; Euphorbiaceae.
UCCAAUGCCUUACGAUAAAAUAUUAUGUCCCGUUUCACUGUUGCAGCACUUUGUUUUCCCUUCCACCAAUGUACAAAUGGGAAACAAUCACGGACUGGCUCUUGGUAAAAAUUUGGUCGAAGGUGAAAGUAACUCCAACACUGUAGUAGUGUCAAACAACCGCUGAUUGUACUUUGAGAUUUAAGAGAUGCUCUACCAAGUGCUCUAUACAAAAAAGCCAAUGCUGCAGCACCCCAUGCAUACUUUCCUGCCUUUUCAAAAUCGUCAAACAGUGGGAGGUACAUGAUAGGGACUUUGUUCCCAGUAGUAGUUGAAAAG